Saccostrea cuccullata (small rock oyster) is the source of this 191-nucleotide long non-coding RNA. RefSeq lists it as uncharacterized. The transcript has 2 exons. The record is from RefSeq and is a predicted model, not a curated record. Lineage: Eukaryota; Metazoa; Mollusca; Bivalvia; Ostreida; Ostreidae.
ACACACCUACAAGAUUUAAACAAAUACAUGAUAAAUCAGCAGAAAAAUAACUUAAAGAUGUAAAAUUUAUAUGUCUAAAAGUUAAAACCGUUAGAGAGGAAUUGUUUACGGUAAUGCCCACCAGUUAUAGACUCUCUGCUGGUCGGAGUUUACGGAGACAGCCGAGCGUCUGGUUGAACGAGACUAUCUGU